UCUCCACCUGCCCCUCUUCCUGUUCUACCACCUCGUUGUUAAUAACGCCCUGCAGCAAAAGAAAACGUCGGUGCGGCCAGAAGCUGUCCAGAUAGGAGAGAAGGUCUGGAUCGCUCAUUUUUCAUCCGUCUGCCUGUGCAGCUCGGCUGAGAACAGUGUACUUCGUUUCAGUUCAGCCAAGAAAGAGACAUCCAAAGAGGUAGACAGAGAAGAUUAGUGCAAACAUGUGCAAGUGCACGUGGGAGUGAGCAUGUGCAGUACAUGCAUUUGUGUGUGUGUGUGUGUGUGUGUGUAAAUCCUACAACAGCUGUGAUCUGACUUAAGAUUUGGAUAAAUGAGAACAACUAGAUUUGUUCUCAAUGUGAUGUAUGUGCUGUGUGUUCUAUGAAAUGAAGAGAACCAACACAACUUCCCUGAUAAUUCAAUGUAUGUAGCCCUCCGCACACACAUAAUGCAUAUGUGCCUGUGAGUCAGUGUGUCAAUACACACAGGUUGGGAGCAGAUGAAUUAGACCAGCAGGAUUCCCUCAUAAAUAACAGACUAGAUCCCCAGUAGAUGCAUGGGUUACAUACAAAAAGGGAAGCCCAGGG
Molecule: long non-coding RNA, 590 nt
Filed under: Chinchilla lanigera (long-tailed chinchilla)
Lineage: Eukaryota; Metazoa; Chordata; Mammalia; Rodentia; Chinchillidae
Description: lncRNA (ENSCLAG00000028997.1)
Source: RNAcentral